AUUGAACGCUGGCGGCAGGCCUAACACAUGCAAGUCGAACGGUAACAGGAAGAAGCUUGCUUCUUUGCUGACGAGUGGCGGACGGGUGAGUAAUGUCUGGGAAACUGCCUGAUGGAGGGGGAUAACUACUGGAAACGGUAGCUAAUACCGCAUAACGUCCCAAUACCAAAGAGGGGGACCUUCGGGCCUCUUGCCAUCGGAUGUGCCCAGAUGGGAUUAGCUAGUAGGUGGGGUAACGGCUCACCUAUGCGACGAUCCCUAGCUGGUCUGAGAGGAUGACCAGCCACACUGGAACUGAGACACGGUCCAGACUCCUACGGGAGGCAGCAGUGGGGAAUAUUGCACGAAGGGCGCAAGCCUGAUGCAGCCAUGCCGCGUGUAUGAAGAAGGACUUCGGGUUGUAAAGUACUUUAAGCGGGGAGGAAGGGAGUAAAGUUAAUACCUUUGCUCAUUGACGUUACCCGCAGAAGAAGCACCGGCUAACUCCGUG
RNAcentral lists this ribosomal RNA (490 nucleotides) under uncultured bacterium. RNAcentral describes it as "partial 16S ribosomal RNA". It matches the Rfam family "Bacterial small subunit ribosomal RNA", at positions 30 to 507 of the family's 1533-position model. The record is from RNAcentral.